RNAcentral lists this ribosomal RNA (766 nucleotides) under uncultured bacterium. RNAcentral's name for it is "bacterial SSU rRNA". It matches the Rfam family "Bacterial small subunit ribosomal RNA", at positions 8 to 769 of the family's 1533-position model. The record is from RNAcentral.
AGAGUUUGAUCCUGGCUCAGAUUGAACGCUGGCGGCAGGCCUAACACAUGCAAGUCGAGCGGUAGAGAGAAGCUUGCUUCUCUUGAGAGCGGCGGACGGGUGAGUAAUGCCUAGGAAUCUGCCUGGUAGUGGGGGAUAACGUUCGGAAACGGACGCUAAUACCGCAUACGUCCUACGGGAGAAAGCAGGGGACCUUCGGGCCUUGCGCUAUCAGAUGAGCCUAGGUCGGAUUAGCUAGUUGGUGAGGUAAUGGCUCACCAAGGCGACGAUCCGUAACUGGUCUGAGAGGAUGAUCAGUCACACUGGAACUGAGACACGGUCCAGACUCCUACGGGAGGCAGCAGUGGGGAAUAUUGGACAAUGGGCGAAAGCCUGAUCCAGCCAUGCCGCGUGUGUGAAGAAGGUCUUCGGAUUGUAAAGCACUUUAAGUUGGGAGGAAGGGUUGUAGAUUAAUACUCUGCAAUUUUGACGUUACCGACAGAAUAAGCACCGGCUAACUCUGUGCCAGCAGCCGCGGUAAUACAGAGGGUGCAAGCGUUAAUCGGAAUUACUGGGCGUAAAGCGCGCGUAGGUGGUUUGUUAAGUUGGAUGUGAAAUCCCCGGGCUCAACCUGGGAACUGCAUUCAAAACUGACUGACUAGAGUAUGGUAGAGGGUGGUGGAAUUUCCUGUGUAGCGGUGAAAUGCGUAGAUAUAGGAAGGAACACCAGUGGCGAAGGCGACCACCUGGACUAAUACUGACACUGAGGUGCGAAAGCGUGGGGAGC